This 497-nucleotide ribosomal RNA is filed under the name uncultured bacterium. RNAcentral describes it as "partial 16S ribosomal RNA". It matches the Rfam family "Bacterial small subunit ribosomal RNA", at positions 28 to 507 of the family's 1533-position model. The record is from RNAcentral.
GAUGAACGCUGGCGGCGUGCCUAAUACAUGCAAGUCGAGCGAACAGAUAAGGAGCUUGCUCCUUUGACGUUAGCGGCGGACGGGUGAGUUACACGUGGAUAACCUACCUAUAAGACUGGGAUAACUUCGGGAAACCGGAGCUAAUACCGGAUAACAUAUUGAACCGCAUGGUUCAAUAGUGAAAGGCGGCUUUGCUGUCACUUAUAGAUGGAUCCGCGCCGUAUUAGCUAGUUGGUAAGGUAACGGCUUACCAAGGCAACGAUACGUAGCCGACCUGAGAGGGUGAUCGGCCACACUGGAACUGAGACACGGUCCAGACUCCUACGGGGGGCAGCAGUAGGGAAUCUUCCGCAAUGGGCGAAAGCCUGACGGAGCAACGCCGCGUGAGUGAUGAAGGUCUUCGGAUCGUAAAACUCUGUUAUCAGGGAAGAACAAAUGUGUAAGUAACUGUGCACAUCUUGACGGUACCUGAUCAGAAAGCCACGGCUAACUACGUG